CAAUAGCGUAUAUUAAAGUUGUUGCGGUUAAAAAAGCUCGUAGUUGGAUUUCUGCUGAGGACGACCGGUCCGCCCUCCGGGUGAGCAUCUGGUUCGGCCUUGGCAUCUUCUUGGUGAACGUAUCUGCACUUGACUGUGUGGUGCGGUACCCAGGACUUUUACUUUGAGGAAAUUAGAGUGUUUCAAGCAGGCACACGCCUUGAAUACAUUAGCAUGGAAUAAUAAGAUAGGACCUUGGUUCUAUUUUGUUGGUUUCUAGAGCUGAGGUAAUGAUUAAUAGGGAUAGUUGGGGGCAUUCGUAUUUAAUUGUCAGAGGUGGAAUUCUCGGAAUUUUGUUUAAAGACUAAACUUAUGCGAAAGCAUUUGCCAAGGAU
RNAcentral lists this ribosomal RNA (374 nucleotides) under uncultured eukaryote. RNAcentral's name for it is "SSU rRNA". It matches the Rfam family "Eukaryotic small subunit ribosomal RNA", at positions 592 to 965 of the family's 1831-position model. The record is from RNAcentral.